This 589-nucleotide ribosomal RNA is filed under the name uncultured bacterium. Its description in RNAcentral is "bacterial SSU rRNA". It matches the Rfam family "Bacterial small subunit ribosomal RNA", at positions 338 to 949 of the family's 1533-position model. The record is from RNAcentral.
CCUACGGGAGGCAGCAGUGGGGAAUAUUGGACAAUGGGGGAAACCCUGAUCCAGCAAUGCCGCGUGAGUGAUGAAGGCCUUAGGGUCGUAAAGCUCUUUUACCAGGGAUGAUAAUGACAGUACCUGGAGAAUAAGCUCCGGCUAACUCCGUGCCAGCAGCCGCGGUAAUACGGAGGGAGCUAGCGUUGUUCGGAAUUACUGGGCGUAAAGCGUGCGUAGGCGGUUAUUCAAGUCAGAGGUGAAAGCCCGGGGCUCAACCCCGGAACGGCCUUUGAAACUAGAUAACUAGAAUCUUGGAGAGGUCAGUGGAAUUCCGAGUGUAGAGGUGAAAUUCGUAGAUAUUCGGAAGAACACCAGUGGCGAAGGCGACUGACUGGACAAGUAUUGACGCUGAGGUACGAAAGCGUGGGGAGCAAACAGGAUUAGAUACCCUGGUAGUCCACGCCGUAAACGAUGAUAACUAGCUGUCCGGACACUUGGUGUUUGGGUGGCGCAGCUAACGCAUUAAGUUAUCCGCCUGGGGAUACGGUCGCAAGNUUAAAACUCAAAAUGAAUUGACGGCUGAGANGCGAGACGACACGAGGAGAGG